Molecule: ribosomal RNA, 756 nt
Filed under: Triticum aestivum (bread wheat)
Lineage: Eukaryota; Viridiplantae; Streptophyta; Magnoliopsida; Poales; Poaceae
Description: partial small subunit ribosomal RNA
Source: RNAcentral
AUGGAAUAUUUGGGAGAUGGCGAAGGGAUGAAAGGAAACCGGGGCUUGGCCGUGAGCACAGCUGGGGGUGACGACGCGUUUGCAGGAGCCGUUGUUGCUGCAGUCGAGGAUGCCCAACGCGAGAGCGUUGCACUGGUCCACUACAUCGGUCGGGAGUACGUUGAUCCGCCCAACAACUUGGUGCCUCUUACUUUGAAGCAAGUUUCCAUGCUAACUCCUUCAGCCAGGCAUGGGGGGGCACUAUCGAUACAUGGGAUGCCUGUCAACACGGCACGACUGCUUGGUAGGGUGUGGAACCGUACGGAAUCGUCGGAAGAGAUCAGCUUCGUUCUAGGCGAUGGCACUGGGUCUAUCGAAGCCAAGAUAUGGACAAUAGACGGGGAGUACAUGCGGGCGUUACGUGAAGUUAGGAAUGGAGACUACGUUGUGGUUAACGGCUCUAUAAGGACGCGGGAUUCUGUCAUGCAUAUACGAGCCUACUCAACCAGGCUUGUGACUAACUACAACGAGAUUACUAACCACUUCCUCCAUUGCAUAUACGUCUCCCUCGAUCUUCAGAAGCAGUUGAGGGAGAGAGAAAUGGAUAUUCGUCGGGCGAAUCUGGUGGUAGCCUCAAACGAGCAGUCUCAGGCUCCCAACGGCGCGGAGAAGCUUUUUGGUGAUGUUCUUCAAGUUUUCUACCGUCCAGGAAUAGUGUACGUGCCUGUCUUCCAAGAUAACAAAAUUCUAGCACGCCCAUUAUCACUCCCCCCCUGA